Molecule: RNase P RNA, 325 nt
Filed under: Klebsiella pneumoniae
Lineage: Bacteria; Pseudomonadati; Pseudomonadota; Gammaproteobacteria; Enterobacterales; Enterobacteriaceae
Description: RNase P RNA component class A
Rfam family: Bacterial RNase P class A
About the family: Ribonuclease P (RNase P) is a ubiquitous endoribonuclease, found in archaea, bacteria and eukarya as well as chloroplasts and mitochondria. Its best characterised activity is the generation of mature 5'-ends of tRNAs by cleaving the 5'-leader elements of precursor-tRNAs.
Source: RNAcentral
GAAGCUGACCAGACAGUCGCCGCUUCGUCGUCGUCCUCCUUCGGGGGGAGACGGGCGGAGGGGAGGAAAGUCCGGGCUCCAUAGGGCAAGGUGCCAGGUAACGCCUGGGGGGUGUCACAGCCCACGACCAGUGCAACAGAGAGCAAACCGCCGAUGGCCCGCGCAAGCGGGAUCAGGUAAGGGUGAAAGGGUGCGGUAAGAGCGCACCGCGCGGCUGGUAAACCCCGCUCCGGCGGGGUUUUUGCUAUUCGAAUAGCGGAGAAAGGAUGAAUAACUGUCCACGACGCUAUACCAAAAGAACGCGGCUCAUCGGUCAGUUUCACCU